UACACAGUCUGAGAAUCGGAUGCUGUGGG
Molecule: non-coding RNA, 29 nt
Filed under: Rattus norvegicus (Norway rat)
Lineage: Eukaryota; Metazoa; Chordata; Mammalia; Rodentia; Muridae
Source: RNAcentral